This is a non-coding RNA of Panus rudis PR-1116 ss-1, 86 nucleotides long. Lineage: Eukaryota; Fungi; Basidiomycota; Agaricomycetes; Polyporales; Panaceae. The record is from the annotation of a GenBank genome assembly.
GCCGGGAUAGCUCAGCUGGGAGAGCAACAGACUGAAGCCCAAAAGCGGCUUUCUGGAGGUCCCGUGUUCAAUCCACGGUCCUGGCA